GGGCAAAGUUGGCUCGCCUUCAAAUUGCUCUCUUUCUUCAUUACUUCGUUACUACAUACAGGUGGACCCAACUCAAGGAGGAUCGGAUGUCUUUCUUUCCUUCAGCUCGAUUAGUGAAUGACUUUCAAAUCCAAAUAACCAGACGGGAUGACGAGUUGAAAAAAA
Non-coding RNA from Camellia sinensis, 165 nucleotides. Lineage: Eukaryota; Viridiplantae; Streptophyta; Magnoliopsida; Ericales; Theaceae. The record is from RefSeq and is a predicted model, not a curated record.